This 460-nucleotide ribosomal RNA is filed under the name uncultured bacterium. RNAcentral describes it as "partial 16S ribosomal RNA". It matches the Rfam family "Bacterial small subunit ribosomal RNA", at positions 338 to 795 of the family's 1533-position model. The record is from RNAcentral.
CCUACGGGAGGCUGCAGUGAGGAAUAUUGGUCAAUGGGCGCUAGCCUGAACCAGCCAAGUCGCGUGAAGGAUGACUGCCCUAUGGGUUGUAAACUUCUUUUAUAUGGGAAUAAAGUGCAGUAUGUAUACUGCUUUGCAUGUACCUUAUGAAUAAGGAUCGGCUAACUCCGUGCCAGCAGCCGCGGUAAUACGGAGGAUCCGAGCGUUAUCCGGAUUUAUUGGGUUUAAAGGGAGCGUAGGCGGGUUGUUAAGUCAGUUGUGAAAGUUUGCGGCUCAACCGUAAAAUUGCAGUUGAUACUGGCAGCCUUGAGUACAGUAGAGGUAGGCGGAAUUCGUGGUGUAGCGGUGAAAUGCUUAGAUAUCACGAAGAACUCCGAUUGCGAAGGCAGCCUGCUGGACUGUAACUGACGCUGAUGCUCGAAAGUGUGGGUAUCAAACAGGAUUAGAUACCCCUGUAGUC